Long non-coding RNA from Brassica napus (rape), 804 nucleotides. RefSeq lists it as uncharacterized. The transcript is spliced from 2 exons. NCBI's taxonomy places the organism in Eukaryota, Viridiplantae, Streptophyta, Magnoliopsida, Brassicales, Brassicaceae. The record is from RefSeq and is a predicted model, not a curated record.
AAUGUAUAUAAAUUUUGUUGAUAUAAUUUAAUUUUGUGGUUAGUUUCAAGAAGGAAACAACAUAAUUGAAAAAAAAACUCAGCAAUGGGAAUUGAUCAACGUAUCGAAAGAUCAAGACAACUGGUUACCCAGUAACGGAUUCUAGAGAAACCAAAUGGUGGUAUUCGGUUUUUUAUAUGUCUUAUCGAUUGAUCAUGUCAAUCCCGGUAAACAUGUAUUUAGUGCUAUAAAGUGACUUCUUAAUUCUGAAAGGCUACCACACUGAUUACAUCUGAGGGGAUUGUCGAAUCACCUUUAACCAUACUACAAAGUAAACUAAUUGGACCAAAAUCUAAGUUGAAACUUCCCAAACUGAUAUUUGUUUAAACGGAGACUCGAAUCACCUUUAGCACAUUUCCAGGUUUUGGCAAAACUGUUUUGUUUAUCAAUUGACCAUAGUCAUACAAGCAAUGGUGGUAUUCUGCCUUCCUCGACUAUGGCCAUUGUGAAAGCUUCUGCUCUUGGUUUUCCCUUCGCCAUUUCACAACUUAGAUGGGGCAAUGCUUUCAUCAUGGGUGAUGACAUUUUACACAUUGUGGCAACUUGUGUAGAUCCAUGAGGCCGUGCUGGAAAGACAGUUUAAACGUUACUGGAGCUUGGUGUGUACGGAUUUGGCCAAACCUAGGUUGUUGGUUGGUAGUGCCAGAAAAUAUAUUAUGUACUUGUAAUGCUAAUUUUAGAUAGAUUUUGUAGCGAGUGAUCUCUUAUAAGAACAUCCCAAUCCCUAUGAUUUCUCUUAAUAUUAAUAUUUCCAUAUUUUCUUAA